CUGUGUUUAUAUAUACAUGCACUGUAUAGGUUUGAUUAAGCCAAGAAAUACGAAAACUCUUUCUCCCAAGUCUCUCUCUCUCUUCUCCCUCUCUCUCCAGCUAUUCUCCAUGCCCCAGGAGUAAGAAACCCUAGGGUUUCUUGCCGCCAGGUCCCAAGAAGGUAGGAGAAGCAAGGGAAGGUGCUAGAGUUUUGAGCCCCCUCCCCCUUUGUGCCGCCAACCCUUUUGUC
RNAcentral lists this long non-coding RNA (230 nucleotides) under Elaeis guineensis (African oil palm). RNAcentral describes it as "long non-coding RNA (EGUI_LNC080311)". Lineage: Eukaryota; Viridiplantae; Streptophyta; Magnoliopsida; Arecales; Arecaceae. The record is from RNAcentral.